UGCUUCAGACAGAGAGUCAACUACUUUAUUUUACACAACCUUCAGAAGCAGGUUCAACUUGGGAAAUGAAUUUUCACUGAAGAGGAUGUGAGGUGCUCACACUACUUUUUCUGGGGAUUCAUUUGCAAUAGGGCUUAUCUCCAGCAGAGGUGUGGCUAUUUUUUGCAAGGAUUUUUGACCAUGGUCUUAUUGGCAGCAUCUGUCUUAGACUAUAGUAUCAGAAGCCCAAUUAACAGAGAGAGCUGUCAGCUGGAACUAAGUAACACCAGCAAGAUCCCCGGAUGGAUGAAGCCCAAGCUGAUUUACUACAGCUAGGCAGAAUCUGUGGGAUAACAUAGCCAGUUCACGGACAAACAGGGGUCAGAAACAUACCUGUUUACAGGAUCAGUGGGAGCACCUGAGAUUCUCCAGAGUCAUAUCUUGCUAUAACAGAGUUUUGGCAGGGAGCAGGAGAAGGCUUAACUCCCAGGAGCAGAGGAGAAGCAGCAGUCUGGAAGCUAGGCAGGAAAGUGAAAAAGGAGGCCUGGGGAUGACAGCAAGCCUCUCCGGCAGAGGUCUCCGCUACUUACUGCGAAAUCCAGGCAGCCACAAAAUCAGCGAAAUGCUUAGGAAUGCUUCUGUUUGCAUCACUCCAGGCUGCCUAAUCCUGAAAGGACAAUCUUGUACCUACCCAUGAGGAUCUGACCAAGAAGGACUCAUCUCAGCAGUGAAUCUCUCUAUCUCUCUGAAGCGCUCCACCUUGUUCAAAUAAAUAACGGCAGUAGUAGCAGAGAUUGAGUCUAUAGCCCAACAUAAAAACAUUCAUCCACUGACAAAUAUAAAGAGAAGAGAAAGACCAGGUCCUGAGAAAGAAUUGCAGGCUGGCUCCGAGCCAUCAGUGCUUUUCUAUAUUGGGAAAAGGCAACAGAUCCUAGAAUGCAUCCAGCAAGAAUCACACAGAAUCACAGAAUGGCCAAGGCUGGAGAUCAUCUAGUCCAACCCACCUGCUCAAGCAAAAUUUCUUUUCCAAGGAUCAAAUCUAAUUAUAAAAAGCAUGAUAAAAGUCUUCAGAACUCAUAGAGAGGUAUACUUUCUGACUUCUCUGUCUCUCUUCAUUUGUAUUUCUGGCUUUUGUCUCCUUAUAAAUUUACUGCCAAUCGUCAGCCUUUUGCCAGAAGGUGAGGUGAAAGUGAUGAAGGAAUUCUACCAGUGCUUAAGCAGAAACCCGUAGAACCAUUGAGUGCUGUCUUGAUGUAGUAAUUAAAUAUCAGUGUCUGGUGAGCUGCAAAAUGCUGCAACCCCAUUAGAAUAUGGAGAAAGAAGAAAAUCCUGUUCUUAGUAUACAUCCAGGGAUGUACAGGGAUACUGGAUGCUCUCUUUGAGGGCCAGUUCCUUGAGUCAUGAAAAUUUCAGCCUUAAUUUUUAAAAGUAUAUCUAGUGUUCAUAUGAAAUAAAUAAUUCUUUCUCCUCAAUGUUUUACUAGGUAUUAGGUAUUAAAUUAAACUUAUACUGAAUGGGAUUUUUUUAAUAUAGUGCCACUAUCUGUUAACAGAUACUUUAUUCUAGAAAUCACGCAGGCACAACACUGCACUUUUGCAGCACCGACUUGCCUUAAUCACAAUCACAUAAUUAUUGCAUGAAAUCUCUUUAUGGAAGCUGUGAUGUUAUCUGACUAUCCAAUAAUGCAUUUCUGUCAUGUUGGAACAGUAGCAUGCCUAAAUAAUGUUGACAUUUAAUCUUCAUUCUUAAGGCCUUGAUUUUGCAAUAGUAUGUUUCAUUUCUGCA
Molecule: long non-coding RNA, 1764 nt
Organism: Struthio camelus australis
Lineage: Eukaryota; Metazoa; Chordata; Aves; Struthioniformes; Struthionidae
Source: RefSeq, a predicted model, not a curated record